Molecule: ribosomal RNA, 878 nt
Filed under: uncultured bacterium
Lineage: Bacteria
Description: bacterial SSU rRNA
Rfam family: Bacterial small subunit ribosomal RNA
Source: RNAcentral
GCUUUCCAUGCAGUCGACGGCAGCACGGACUUCGGUCUGGUGGCGAGUGGCGAACGGGUGAGUAAUACAUCGGAACGUGCCCAGUUGUGGGGGAUAACUACUCGAAAGAGUAGCUAAUACCGCAUGAGAACUGAGGUUGAAAGCAGGGGAUCGUAAGACCUUGCGCAACUGGAGCGGCCGAUGGCAGAUUAGGUAGUUGGUGGGAUAAAAGCUUACCAAGCCGACGAUCUGUAGCUGGUCUGAGAGGACGACCAGCCACACUGGGACUGAGACACGGCCCAGACUCCUACGGGAGGCAGCAGUGGGGAAUUUUGGACAAUGGGCGAAAGCCUGAUCCAGCAAUGCCGCGUGCAGGAUGAAGGCCUUCGGGUUGUAAACUGCUUUUGUACGGAACGAAAAGCUUCGGGUUAAUACCCUGGAGUCAUGACGGUACCGUAAGAAUAAGCACCGGCUAACUACGUGCCGGCAGCCGCGGUAAUACGUAGGGUGCAAGCGUUAAUCGGAAUUACUGGGCGUAAAGCGUGCGCAGGCGGUCUUGUAAGACAGAGGUGAAAUCCCCGGGCUCAACCUGGGAACUGCCUUUGUGACUGCAAGGCUGGAGCGCGGCAGAGGGGGAUGGAAUUCCGCGUGUAGCAGUGAAAUGCGUAGAUAUGCGGAGGAACACCGGUGGCGAAAGCAAUCCCCUGGGCCUGCACUGACGCUCAUGCACGAAAGCGUGGGGAGCAAACAGGAUUAGAUACCCUGGUAGUCCACGCCCUAAACGAUGUCAACUGGUCGUUGGGUCUUAACUGACUCAGUAACGAAGCUAACGCGUGAAGUGACCGCCUGGGGAGUACGGCCGCAAGGUUGAAACUCAAGGGAAUUGACGGGACCCGCAC